RNAcentral lists this ribosomal RNA (504 nucleotides) under uncultured bacterium. RNAcentral describes it as "partial 16S ribosomal RNA". It matches the Rfam family "Bacterial small subunit ribosomal RNA", at positions 899 to 1397 of the family's 1533-position model. The record is from RNAcentral.
ACUCAAAGGAAUUGACGGGGGCUCACACAAGCGGUGGAGUAUGUGGCUUAAUUCGAGGCUACGCGCAAAACCUUAUCCUGGGCUUGACAUGCACGGAUUAGCCGGCGGAAACGUCGGUGAGGCCGCAAGGUACAACGUGCACAGGUGCUGCAUGGCUGUCGUCAGCUCGUGUCGUGAGAUGUUGGGUUAAGUCCCCUAACGAGCGCAACCCCUGCCCUUAGUUGCCAGCACGUCAUGGUGGGAACUCUAAGGGGACCGCCGGCGUUAAGCCGGAGGAAGGCGGGGAUGACGUCAAGUCCUCAUGGCCCUUAUGCCCAGGGCUGCACACGUACUACAAUGGGAGGGACAAAGCGAUGCUAAGUCGCAAGACCACGCCAAUCGCAAAAACCCUUCCUCAGUUCGGAUUGUGGGCUGCAACCCGCCCACAUGAAGCUGGAAUCGCUAGUAAUCGCGGAUCAGCAUGCCGCGGUGAAUGGGUUCCUGAGCCUUGUACACACCGCCCGU